CAUUAAUCAGAAAAAUGACAUACUACUUUUCUAUGGAGAAUUGAAGAGGGAGAUGAAGAACAUCGAGCUGAAGAGCUGAAACCCCAAAUCAGAAUCGAAGAAUUGAUGAAGAGCUGUAGAUCGCUUUUCUCACAGAACCGCUGAAGAGCUGAAGAUCGAAAACAGAGCUGAAGAGCACUUAUACGAUUCCUUUUUUCUCGCUCCACUUUUAGUCUUUCUGAUUCAAUUACUUUUUUGUUUGUUUGUUGAUUCGUUGUAUUCACUUUAGUGUUAAUCUCUUGAAAACUUCAUUGUUGAAAUCCCUUUUUAGGAUGUGGGUUUUUGUGCUUUUUCCAUUCUUGUUUUUCUGAUAGCCUAAAUUACAUGGGUGUAGAGUUUGAGCUAGAGUAGGUUCAUGUAUUUUGCAUUCACUUUAGUGAUAAUCUAUUGAAACUUCAUUGUGAAUAAUCUAUUUUUGGGAUGUGGGUUUUGUUUGCUUUUACCAUUGUUAUUGUUCUGAUAGCUUAAAUGACAUGAGUAUAUAAUUUAAGCUAGAGUAGAUUCAUGUAUGUUGUAUUUACUUCAGUGUAAAUCUCUUCGAAGCUCAUUGUGAAAUCCUUCUUUUUUUGUGUGUGAGAAUGGUAACUCGAUUGUGACAAUUCCUUUUUGGGAUGUGGUUUUUUUUUCUUUUAAAAUUCCUUGUUGUUCUAUUUGUUUAAGGUUGCAUAGGUAUAGGAUUUGUAGCUGGAAUGAGUUCAUUGUAUCUAGUAUUCACUACAGUGUUAAUCUCUUCAAAGUUCAUAGUGACAAUUUCUUUUCCGGAUGUGGUUUUUCUUUUCUUUUCCUUUCUUGUCGUUCUGUUAGUUUAAAUUACAUGGGUUUAGAAUUUCGGCUGGAAUAGGGACAAUAUGUUGAUGCAUUCUUCCAACCACAAAUUUGAUAGGCCUGGCGAAGCUGAAGCCUCUAUUCAAAAGAGACGGAGCAACAACUACAGGGAAUUCUAGCCAGGUCAGUGAUGGUGCGGCUGCAGUGCUUCUCAUGAAGAGAAGUAUAGCUAUGCAGAAGGCACUUCCAAUUCUUGGUGUUUUCAGGUAAGCUAUAUUCUUUGCAUAUGAAUAUAGAUUGUUCUUUUGUGGUUAGUACUGAUCACCAUGAUGCUCAAUAUACACUAUUAGUCGGAUAAUUCGCAACUAUAUUCAGGCAGUAGCUAUUAUGUGCUAACAAAGUCAAAUAUGAUUUUAAAAGGUAACAAUAAUAUGCCCUUUAAGAUAGAAGGGGAAAUCAACAACAUAAUCGGUUGGUAUUUUAUCUCAAUCUUGAAUCCACGUUCUUCUUUCAUUGUUCUCUUUUUCCAUUUUUGUAGAUGCAACAAUACCAAUGUUUUUAGAUACAAAUAAACUAACUUGACACGAGUUUUGAUGCUACUAUUUUCAUUAACAAGAUUUGUGACUACAUCAACUGCCCAUUGAAUGAUACCAUUGGCUUCUCGAUAGUUCUAAGCAUCUUUGUGCCUGUUCAGCUUAUUAGCAAGAUGAGGCAAAGCUCUAGCAUCACAAUCAGUUGUUGGUGCUCCAACUAUACAUAAAAUUGAAAAUCUAAAGAAGUCGUCUGAUAGAUGCAAGAGUUAAGAACAACACCAUAUGUUAUUUAUAUUUCACAUUUCCACUUCCUCUGUUAUUUAUAUUUCAUAUUCACACUAGUAUUAUUUAGAUAAAAUUAUUCGUGGAACCUUCUUUACACUUGCUUAUGCUUUGUGGUUUAUUAUCUUUAGGGAGUACUCAGGACCAUCCCUUAGCUACUAUAUCAACAACUUUAAGCCCAUGAAAGUAGUCCAAGCCUCAGCACACUUGCCACAAAUAUUGUGUUGUUAUAGUGGUCUCGAUAAUUUCUUUCUUUCUUUUGGAGACAGAUACAACUCUCCAGAAUAUAACGUUAAGCAGUUGUAAGCAUACAAUAUAGUCAUUCUGAACUCGCGCACUCUAGUUUGGAUGAAUAAUAUGACUGAUUUGUUGAAUAUUGUUUUUUUUUUAGAUACACACUCUGUAUAACUAAGAAAUAUUGUAAGAUGCUAACUUUGGAGAUAUUGACUUCGUCAACUGCACAUUCGCUAUCUUCUACCAUCUUUGUAAGUGUAACUCUUUAGGAUAUUUUGAUUAUCGUCGUGUGGCUUCUUUGAUUUGUAUGUCUUUUUAUUAGGUAGUUUUUUGUUUUUGCUUCUAAAAACUACAUGUUGAGCAUUCAUUUAGGUAGCUUUCAGCUGUGAUGUGUGUUGCAAAGUUAAAAGUUGUAAUCUUUGCUUACCAUUUCCGACUAAGAACUGUACGAAAACAAGAGUUUGAUAGCAUGACAGGCUCCCAGUUUUUUUUCUGGUGGCUUUACAGGUAAUCUGCAAUUAGCUAUGUGAUGCCUUGUUUUGCUGACCCUUUUUCUCUAGUUUUCACCAUUUUUAAAUUCUAAUGUUUGUAAGCUGAUGAAUGAUUGUUAAGUAGGAACAUCAAGUAUGGUGACAACUCUCUAGAAAGAAACAAAAUGAUUUACUGUUGUAGUUGCCUGCUUGAGUCCUUUAAUUUCCUCUACACCUUGAUCUCACACAACUUGUAUUAUCUGUGCUAUAACUUUGGAUUGGAUUUAAAGGGUUGUUAUUCUGUAAAUAGUACUGACACCAUGAUGCUCAAUAUACCAUUAGUAAGGUAAUCUGCACGUAGUUAUGUGACGUCCAGUUCUGCUCUUGUUUUCGUAAUGCUCAAAGAGGAAUGGUGAUAGCUGAGGCUGAAGGCCAUCAUAAUGUAGGUAUCCUAUGUUCAAAAUUCUGCAAAACUUGAUGAAUGGUACACUGGAAAAUUAUAGUCAGACUGUCGAGACAUGAAUUUGAUCUCUAGCAGUCCAAGCCAUUACAUUUGCAGAAAGAAAUAGAUUUUUGAGAUGAAAACUAUUUCCUCUAUCCUACUAAGCCUGAAGUUAGAGCAGAAACUAACAUCAGUUGUUGAUCAUCUUGUUCAGGAAUUCAGCUUGCUCGGGAAAGUAUUCCAAUAGGGACCCGAAAAAUCUAACCCGGCAGGACCACAAUAGUUCUUUUCCGAUCAUUACUAAUGAUACUUGCUUACUUGAAUUUUCACGUGCGAUUUCUGGUAUUUUUAUAUGAAGUAGGUGAAGAGUGAAAUUCACGGGUCUCAAGUACAAUGGCAGCUGUGUGUGAAGAUCAUGAAAUUUAUGUGAAGAUAAUGAAAUUUCCUACUAUCAAUUAUUAGUUUGGACGUAAAUGAUCAACACAGGUAUAUUGAAUAUUGCUUAUUUUUGCCAGCUGGUGCAUCUAUAGACUACAAGAUUAUAGGAUUUGGAUUAUAAUAUUGGCACAUCCAGCUUAUUGUAUGACCUUAAAAUAUUCAUGUAUAUUCUGUCCACUCACCUUUUAUUUCUUCUUUAUUUUACAGGCUUCCCCUGGCCCCAAAAAGAUUGUGGGUGUUUUCUCCAAAGCAAAUGAAUAUGCUGAAAUGAACUACCACUUUUUGGGAUGUGCAGAAAAUGCCUUGGGGAUACGUGAAUGGUUAGAUUCUAAAGGUCAUCAGUACAUAGUCACUCCUGAAAAGGAAGGACCAGAUUGUGGAUACAGUGGAGAUGUUUGGUACCCACAACCAGCUCCCAAGGACCAUCUAUGGCGCUACAUGCCAACCAAGCUAUGACGCCUCACAUUCUGGGACUACCAUUGAUGCACAGCAAUUUUGUAGUUGAGGUAUACAGCUAGAACAAAGGAUAUGUUGGACAGGUACUUCAAGGGUGAGGAUUUCCCUGCGUUUGGGCUGCAAGUGCUCAUAUCAUAAUUGUUGUUAUUGGUUCAAGCGUUUUAUCUUUGGCUUGCUAUUGCUCAACUUGGUUGGAUUGAUGAUUUGGAUCAAAUUUGACGGCUUUCAAUUGUUGUUGUUGUACUUUCUUUCACUUGCUCGACGAUCGGUCUAGGUUUAAACAUUUCUCAAGUAGCAGAAACUAAAAAAUUGGAGGAAGUUUAACUAGAGUUAGCAUUGGAACUGUGACUGAAAUGCAAAAAGUUUGGAGAACUUUACAAGCACUGUGAGCUAUUGCUUUUGCCAAUUCUUACUCCCUCAUCCUUAUGGAGACUCAGGAUUUUGGAACUCCGACUUCUCCAGCGGACGAAAUAGAGAACAGGCUUCUUCUGGCAUGACGCCCAGCAGAAUACUCUGCUCGAACGCAUGCUCUUACCCAAAAUCUUAUUGCUGUCCAUUUUACACAGACUGAAUCUGACCGUACACGUAUAACUCCACCGCAACCUACUGUGUUCCUUCAAAACAAAGCAAGUUAGCAUAAGCAGGAAGAAGUACGAGCAUCAACAAGCAAGCAAAUGUUGUUCUUCUGCCACAUCUUUGCCCCAGGGAGCUGCAAGUUGGUUAGUUCUGGCUACUCCAAGAAACACUGCCUCAGAUGAACUAUGGUGUACACAUAUGUAGAAUAUUGCUUUAUAAGUAUGUGUACACACAAGACAUACUAUCUUUUGAAAUUUAUUGCAAAUUUAUAUAUUUGAAUUACUUAUUAGCCAA
RNA transcript from Solanum tuberosum (potato), 4529 nucleotides. It is a transcript of the gene named formate dehydrogenase, mitochondrial-like, with no coding region annotated. Lineage: Eukaryota; Viridiplantae; Streptophyta; Magnoliopsida; Solanales; Solanaceae. The record is from RefSeq and is a predicted model, not a curated record. The transcript is spliced from 7 exons.